RNAcentral lists this ribosomal RNA (483 nucleotides) under uncultured bacterium. Its description in RNAcentral is "partial 16S ribosomal RNA". It matches the Rfam family "Bacterial small subunit ribosomal RNA", at positions 30 to 507 of the family's 1533-position model. The record is from RNAcentral.
UUGAACGCUGGCGGCAGGCCUCACACAUGCAAGUCGAGCGGAUGAAGGGAGCUUGCUCCUGGAUUCAGCGGCGGACGGGUGAGUAAUGCCUAGGAAUCUGCCUGGUAGUGGGGGAUAACGUCCGGAAACGGGCGCUAAUACCGCAUACGUCCUGAGGGAGAAAGUGGGGGAUCUUCGGACCUCACGCUAUCAGAUGAGCCUAGGUCGGAUUAGCUAGUUGGUGGGGUAAAGGCCUACCAAGGCGACGAUCCGUAACUGGUCUGAGAGGAUGAUCAGUCACACUGGAACUGAGACACGGUCCAGACUCCUACGGGAGGCAGCAGUGGGGAAUAUUGGACAAUGGGCGAAAGCCUGAUCCAGCCAUGCCGCGUGUGUGAAGAAGGUCUUCGGAUUGUAAAGCACUUUAAGUUGGGGGGAAGGGCAGUAAGUUAAUACCUUGCUGUUUUGACGUUACCAACAGAAUAAGCACCGGCUAACUUCGUG